This is a non-coding RNA of Macaca mulatta (Rhesus monkey), 1392 nucleotides long. NCBI's taxonomy places the organism in Eukaryota, Metazoa, Chordata, Mammalia, Primates, Cercopithecidae. The record is from the annotation of a RefSeq genome assembly.
GCCUGAGAGGAACCUGCCCAUCCUGGCUUCAGAAGCAGCAUCUGGGACAUGUCAGCCAUGGCCUGGACGCCUCUCCUCCUCAGCCUCCUCGCUCACUGCACAGGCUCUGUGGCCUCCUAUGAGCUGACUCAGUCACCCUCAGUGUCAGUGUCCCCAGGACAGCCAGCCAGCAUCACCUGCUCUGGAGAUAAAUUUGGGAAUGCAUAUGCUUACUGGUACCAGCAGAAGCCAGGCCAGGUCCCUGUACUGGUCAUCUAUAAAAAUAGCAACCGGCCCUCAGGGAUCCCUGAGCGAUUCUCUGGCUCCAACUCGGGGAACACGGCCACCCUGACCAUCAGCGGGGUCGAGGCUGGGGAUGAGGCCGACUAUUACUGUGCUACAAGCUAUGGCAGUGGGAGCAGCUGGCAGUGACUCACAGUAACACGAACAGAUGGAGACAUGGGACAGAAACCUCAGCCUUAACCUGAUGUCACUCUCAGCCGCCCUCUGAGCGAUGACCGUGACCUUCAUUUCAACUGACUCUGCCUGUUUCUCCUGCAGUCCAAACAACAGAAAAUUAGUGCCAGAUUUUUAUUUUUAUCGUGGUUUCCACAAAGUAUUCAUUUCAAACCCUAACAUCUUGCCACUUGAAAUCUAAGCCUCUGCAGAGACCAGCGGGCAGUUUCAGAGGAUGGAAAAUGUCUCUAGAGAGCUUGGCUCCUGCAUUGGUGACCCUCCCUUUCAACCCAGAGUGUGGGUCUUUCCCCUCCCUUUCAACCCAGAGUGUGGCAGGCGCGCCCCCUACAGGCAGCUGAAAGAGCUGGCAGGGAGAAGGGCUCUCCUUAGGGACCCUGACAAUUUGGGCUGAGGAUUUUCCCUCCCCUAGCAGGCUGGACCCAAGAGAUGUUAUUGUUACAGGUCCAGGGCCUCUGUGGUCCUCCCUUUUCUCUCCUCCCCAAAUGAUCAUGUGAUUAUCACUUUCCCUCUCAGUUCCUUUCCUUCUCUGUCAAGUGCACUUCGCAGAUUCUGUGCUCCCAGGUCCUAGAUCUGUAGAAUUUCAAGGAAAGCAGUGCUGCUCACCCACAUGGAAUCCCAGACAGCUGACCAAGGACUAGAGGCACAGGCAGCAGUGUGGGUCCCCACAGAGCUGCAUGGUGGGCACCGGGUAGACUGGAGGAACCAGGAUCUUCAGCCCCAAGUGAACUAGGGAGGGAUCAGCAGGCUGGGCUUAACCCACCAGGGCCUCCCCUGUCCCUGUCCCAGCAGCAUUGUCUUAGAAUUUUCUUUAUGUGCUAAGCUACCACCAAAGAACCUGUCUAAUUACCUGGAAAUUUCCUCUCAUCACACAUAACUACACAUGACUCCUGCCCCAAAUUACUCCUUUAUUAAAAUAGCUAAAAGAGCUUAAACUGA